GGAAAUGUUAAUGUAUUUUAUAAUUUGGGGUAAUUUAGUCUUUUCUCACUAAAAAGUGGGUUAUGAAACUAAAAAGGUGGGUUACAAAAGUGAAAAUCUUUUCCUUCACUAGUGAUAAAAGUUUUUUAUCGUAGCAUCAAUGAGAAUUUAUUAUGUCUCAAAUUUAUAGGUCAAUGUUUAUCUCUUAAGGUUCCAUGUUAUUGCUCAAAACCUUAUCUAACUUUCAUUUUCAAUAAUAAGGAUUGGAUUCUGUUAAAACCAAAUAAUAUAACGCAACCCAUAUCAUAUUUUUUUUUUUUAAAUUGAUUCAGUUCAUUGGGUAUAGCUUUAAUUGAAACUAAAUCGUCCUAUAGAACUAAUGUUGUUACUGUUGCUUGCAGCAAUUCUAAAUGGCACGAAAUAAUACUUACUGACUGAGUCACGACCAGGUCGCUCUCUUUAAGACGUUUCGUGGCACUGCCCAAAAUGUGCAAGCAGACUAUCAACCACGCCGUCCCCAGGAUAAAACAGCCCAGAUCUCUGUUAUCGAAUUCUUACUGCACUGUAAGAACCGAUCUCGAAUACACCCACCACAAUAUGGCUACCAGUGCCAAUUCUCGAAAUUACCCACAAUAUGGCUACCCGUGCCAAUUCUCUUCCCACAAUACUGACAACCAGUGCCAGUUCUCGAAAUCCCACAAUAUGGCUACCAGUGCCAAUUCUUUAUCCACAAUACUGACUACCAGUGUUAGUUCUCGAAAUCUCACUUUGGCUACCUCUGCCAAUUCUUAAGUGCCACGGAAAGAAAGAAGGAGAAGUUUGCCGGAAAUGCAUCGGCAUAAUAU
Molecule: long non-coding RNA, 824 nt
Filed under: Lupinus angustifolius (narrow-leaved blue lupine)
Lineage: Eukaryota; Viridiplantae; Streptophyta; Magnoliopsida; Fabales; Fabaceae
Description: long non-coding RNA (LANG_LNC000489)
Source: RNAcentral